This 1845-nucleotide unclassified non-coding RNA is filed under the name Hevea brasiliensis (rubber tree). Lineage: Eukaryota; Viridiplantae; Streptophyta; Magnoliopsida; Malpighiales; Euphorbiaceae. The record is from RNAcentral.
GUGCCGCACGGGGCUAGAACUCCCAUCCCGUGACACUAGCCAUUAAGCAAUCCCCCUCAUCCCCCCCUCUUUUCUCUAUUUUUGCCAAAAAAAGAAGUGUCAACUACCCGAAAAUUCACCCAUUUGAAACUACAAUCAUGUCAUCAAAUGUCCUCCUCUAUUAUGUCACUCCUUUUAUUUUUUGAAACACGUCAAGUAAAGUACACAAAAACCUUAAAAAGCCAAAAAAAAAUAGGUCACCAUUCUUAGAAUGACCCUGCUGCUAUUGUCAAGCUUGAACAUGGUCCUACUCAGGGAUUCUCAUCUCUCUGAUUUGCGCCUAUGCUCAUCUCUUUCUCUACGACGACUGGAGGAAGAAUCCCUAACAUGGGCAGACGAUUUGGCUCCUCUCUUAUCUUGGUCUUCCCUAAGAUAGGAUUCUGAUUCAUGCCUCUUAAAUCUCUUUUCCUCCCUCCGAUCAUCAUUGUCUCUUGACCUUGGCUCCAAUCCAUCACCAUUAUUAUGCCUUCUCAAUCCCCUUUCAUCCCUCUUAUAAUCUUCUCCUCUUUGAACGUCUUCAUGCCUUCUCAACCUCUUUUCAUCGCUCCUAUGAUAAUCAUCUCUAGACUUUGGCUCAAAUUCCUCAUCUCCAUGCCUUCUCGAUCUCUUUUCAUCUCUCCUAUCAUAGUCUUCGCUUGAUUUUGGCUCAAAUUCAUUGUCUUCUUGUCUUCUCCAUCUCUUUCCAUCUCUUCUAUGAUAAUCUUCUUUUGACUUCCGCUCCAUUUCAUUAUCAUCAUGCCUUCUUGAACUCUUGUCCUCCCUCCUAUCACUCUGUUUAGGGAGGCUCUCUGAAGGUCUCUCAUUGCCAGAUCUUUUCUCACUCUUUUUUGGAGCAUCAAACUUGUCAUGUCCCCAUCUUGGACUUUUAUCCUCAGGACCCCAUCCUGUGUUUGCAGCUCUUUGCUCAUCAUGGGAAAAUUUGCAGCUAGCUCCACGAGUGCAUUCACCUCUUUGGAAAGCACGGCAUACUCCUCGAGCCUCUCUCUUCUGCUGUUGUGUCUCUUCAUCCUCCUCCUCCUCUUUCUUCUUGUAGUUACUAACAUGAUCAACCCUUACAAUUCGACCAGCGACCUCGGCUCCAUUCAGAUUAUUGGGCAAAAACAGCGAGGAGGUCGCCUUCGGUGAUAUCGAAAGGAAUGCCGCCAACAAAAACAUAAGCAGAAUCUUUGUAUUUGGUGUGCCAGGAAGCGUUCUCUGCUAUCCCUAACUCUGCUUCUUUGGAGUUUAUGUUCUGAAUUCGCUUCACCAGCGUCAACGGAUUCAUCUUCUCCCCGCUCUCUCGCCGCUUCAAACUUAUUUUCAUUUUUUGUGCAUAAAAAAAAUUGUUUUACAUAAAAUAUUUAAAAAUUAAUUAAUAUAAUAUGAAAACAAAUAGAAGGCUGUAAUAAUUGAUACUGCCUCGGACUGAGCCUGUAGGCAAUUGAUGAAUGUUAGGCAUGUAUAUUUGGAAGUCGCGUAGGAGACCUUUGGCAUCUGUUAACUUUCUUGGUGAUUCAAUAUACCCAUCUUUGUUUGUCUGCUUUUAGCAUGCUAAGAAACCCAAGAUUGUAUGCAAAUCUUCUUAAUAGCUAAAGUUAAACAUUACCUGAAAGUCUUGACACUUUAUCCUGCAUUCAUGAUCUGAAAUUAAUCCUGAAAUCUGGAUACAGAGACUCUGCCAGAGGUACAGAUUUCAUUGAGGCCAAGAGGACCACAAAAGAUAUGAGCCUAUCUGAGUUUCAAGUCGAAAUGCUCCUGCUUGCAUCACAGCUUAAUGGCGAUUAUGUCUUAAAUACUUACCUAGAUAUAGGCAAAAGCAUGACAGUG